UCUCCCGUGAGGGAGCAGUCUCGCCAGACACUUGUAACUGGCAAUGGGGGUUGCGUUCGUUACCCCACUUAAGGGAACAAUUCAAACCACGAACUGACGACGGCCAUGCAUCACCUGUUCUGCCGCCCGAAGGCCCCUCUAGUUUCCUAAAGAGUUCGACAGAAUUUCUAACCCUGGUGAGGUUCUUCGUUUGUCAUCGAAUUAAGCCACAUAAUCCACCGCUUGUGCAAGCCCCCGUCUAUUCCUUUGAGUUUUAAUCUUGCGAUCGUACUACCCAGGCGCCAAACUUAACGCGUUAGCUUCGCCUCUCAGAGGGUCGAUACUCCGAAAAGCCAGUUUGGAACGUUUAGGGCGUGGACUAC
RNAcentral lists this unclassified non-coding RNA (362 nucleotides) under uncultured bacterium. Its description in RNAcentral is "contains 16S-23S intergenic spacer region". The record is from RNAcentral.